AUUGAACGCUGGCGGCAGGCCUAACACAUGCAAGUCGAGCGGAUGAAGGGAGCUUGCUCCUGGAUUCAGCGGCGGACGGGUGAGUAAUGCCUAGGAAUCUGCCUGGUAGUGGGGGAUAACGUCCGGAAACGGGCGCUAAUACCGCAUACGUCCUGAGGGAGAAAGUGGGGGAUCUUCGGACCUCACGCUAUCAGAUGAGCCUAGGUCGGAUUAGCUAGUUGGUGGGGUAAAGGCCUACCAAGGCGACGAUCCGUAACUGGUCUGAGAGGAUGAUCAGUCACACUGGAACUGAGACACGGUCCAGACUCCUACGGGAGGCAGCAGUGGGGAAUAUUGGACAAAGGGCGAAAGCCUGAUCCAGCCAUGCCGCGUGUGUGAAGAAGGUCUUCGGAUUGUAAAGCACUUUAAGUUGGGAAGAAGGGCAGUAAGUUAAUACCUUGCUGUUUUGACGUUACCAACAGAAUAAGCACCGGCUAACUUCGUG
RNAcentral lists this ribosomal RNA (484 nucleotides) under uncultured bacterium. RNAcentral's name for it is "partial 16S ribosomal RNA". It matches the Rfam family "Bacterial small subunit ribosomal RNA", at positions 30 to 507 of the family's 1533-position model. The record is from RNAcentral.